Molecule: ribosomal RNA, 468 nt
Filed under: uncultured bacterium
Lineage: Bacteria
Description: partial 16S ribosomal RNA
Rfam family: Bacterial small subunit ribosomal RNA
Source: RNAcentral
GACGAACGCUGGCGGCGUGCUUAACACAUGCAAGUCGAACGGAAAGGCCCUGCUUUUGUGGGGUGCUCGAGUGGCGAACGGGUGAGUAACACGUGAGUAACCUGCCCUUGACUUUGGGAUAACUUCAGGAAACUGGGGCUAAUACCGGAUAGGAGCUCCUGCUGCAUGGUGGGGGUUGGAAAGUUUCGGCGGUUGGGGAUGGACUCGCGGCUUACCAGCUUGUUGGUGGGGUAGUUGCUUACCAAGGCUUUGACGGGUAGCCGGCCUGAGAGGGUGACCGGCCACAUUGGGACUGAGGUACGGACCAGACUCCUACGGGAGGCAGCAGUGGGGAAUAUGGCACAACGGGGGGGAGCCUGAUGAAGCAACGCCGCGUGCGGGAUGACGGCCUUCGGGUUGUAAACCGCUUUCGCCUGUGACGAAGCGUGAGUGACGGUAAUGGGUAAAGAAGCACCGGCUAACUACGUG